GUUAAAACGCCCGUAGUUGGACCAGCGGAUUUGGAGAACGGUCUGCCGAUGGGCUGUACUGUUCUCCUGUCCUAUUUUCUCUAGUUCGCUCUAGGUGCUCUUCACUGAGUGUCUAGAGUGGCUGGAACUUUUACUUUGAAAAAAUUAGAGUGCUUAAAGCAGGCGUCUCAGCCUGAAUAGUGGUGCAUGGAAUAAUGGAAUAGGACCUCAGUUCUAUUUUGUUGGUUUUCGGAACAUGAGGUAAUGAUUAAGAGGGACAGACGGGGGCAUUCGUAUUGCGACGUUAGAGGUGAAAUUCUUGGAUCGUCGCAAGACGAACUACUGCGAAAGCAUUUGCCAAGAAUGUUUUCAUUAAUCAAGGACGAUAGUUAGAGGUUCGAAGGCGAUCAGAUACCGCCCUAGUUCUAACCGUAAACGAUGUCAACCAGCGAUCCGCAGGAGUUAUUCAUGACUCUGCGGGCAGCUUCCGGGAAACCAAAGUUUUUGGAUUCCGGGGGGAGUAUGGUUGCAAAGCUGAAACUUAAAGGAAUUGACGGAAGGGCACCACCAGGAGUGGCACUGCGGCUUAAUUUGACUCAACGCGGGGAAACUCACCCGGCCCGGACACCGUAAGGAUUGACAGAUUGAGAGCUCUUUCUUGAUUCAGUGGGUGGUGGCGCAUGGCCGUUCUUAGUUGGUGGAGCGAUUUGUCUGGUUAAUUCCGAUAACGAACGAGACUCUAGCCUACUAAAUAGAAGGCAAAUUAUUCGUUUGCUGUACUUCUUAGAGG
This 769-nucleotide ribosomal RNA is filed under the name uncultured Rhabdolaimus. Its description in RNAcentral is "SSU rRNA". It matches the Rfam family "Eukaryotic small subunit ribosomal RNA", at positions 618 to 1417 of the family's 1831-position model. The record is from RNAcentral. Lineage: Eukaryota; Metazoa; Nematoda; Enoplea; Enoplida; Rhabdolaimidae.